CCAGGGCGUGGCUGAGUUAGUCAAGCAUCUCACUUACACCGAGAAGACAUCCA
This 53-nucleotide transfer RNA is filed under the name Rhinichthys atratulus (blacknose dace). Its description in RNAcentral is "tRNA-Val". Lineage: Eukaryota; Metazoa; Chordata; Actinopteri; Cypriniformes; Leuciscidae. The record is from RNAcentral.